GCUGCGAUGGCCGAGUGGUUAAAGCGUUGGACUCGAAAUCCAUUGGAUAUUCCCGUGCAGGUUCGAAUCCUGUUCGCAGCG
Non-coding RNA from Ciona savignyi (Pacific transparent sea squirt), 81 nucleotides. The record is from Rfam. Lineage: Eukaryota; Metazoa; Chordata; Ascidiacea; Phlebobranchia; Cionidae.